RNAcentral lists this ribosomal RNA (435 nucleotides) under Triticum aestivum (bread wheat). Its description in RNAcentral is "partial small subunit ribosomal RNA". The record is from RNAcentral. Lineage: Eukaryota; Viridiplantae; Streptophyta; Magnoliopsida; Poales; Poaceae.
AUGUUUUUUAUUUUAAAAGUGAAUUUUACAAUAAAUGAACAAAGGAGCAAGGGACCAUAUAGGCUGGCUUCCACGGUUCUAUUAGGAGCACUGCAUUGUUACUUCUGGUUAUCUAGACUAAUUGAUGCAAGUUUGCAUCGACAUGGUAUAUUACCACCCAAGUUUUGGUUGUGUAUUGUAGUUUAUUUGUUGGCACAAGUACACAAGAUAAAUUUCAUGAUGCAUACUUGCAAUCUUGCUCAGUUGUUGCGAGGAACUUUCGUCUAUUUAUGUUUUCAUUACAGAUUUAGAAUUUUCAUCUACAUCCUUUUCUUUCUAAUGGAAGGUGGAUUUUCAUUACAUUUUUCCGUUUGUGGUUUAGGUAGGACAGGUGAGCUGAAAAUAGUUUCACAAGUACACUAUAUGUGCCUUUACAUUUUUUUCCAUUCUACUUAA